RNAcentral lists this transfer RNA (74 nucleotides) under Microbacterium phage Cece. Its description in RNAcentral is "tRNA-Val". It matches the Rfam family "tRNA". From Rfam's summary of the family: Transfer RNA (tRNA) molecules are approximately 80 nucleotides in length. Their secondary structure includes four short double-helical elements and three loops (D, anti-codon, and T loops). The record is from RNAcentral. Lineage: Duplodnaviria; Heunggongvirae; Uroviricota; Caudoviricetes.
GCUCCGGUAGCUCAGCGGCAGUAGCAGCUCGUUUACACCGAGAAGGUCGGGGGUUCGAUCCCCUCCCGGAGCAC